RNAcentral lists this ribosomal RNA (415 nucleotides) under uncultured bacterium. Its description in RNAcentral is "bacterial SSU rRNA". It matches the Rfam family "Bacterial small subunit ribosomal RNA", at positions 355 to 767 of the family's 1533-position model. The record is from RNAcentral.
UGGGGAAUAUUGGUCAAUGGGCGCAAGCCUGAACCAGCCAUCCCGCGUGCAGGAAGACGGCCCUAUGGGUUGUAAACUGCUUUUCCAGGGGGAGAAUUUUUCUGUCGUGACAGGAAUUGACGGUACCCUGGGAAUAAGCAUCGGCUAACUCCGUGCCAGCAGCCGCGGUAAUACGGAGGAUGCGAGCGUUAUCCGGAUUUAUUGGGUUUAAAGGGUGCGUAGGCGGACUGAUAAGUCAGUGGUGAAAACCUGCAGCUUAACUGUAGACUGGCCGUUGAUACUGUCAGUCUUGAGUGUGGUAGAGGUAGGCGGAAUGUGUAAUGUAGCGGUGAAAUGCUUAGAUAUUACACAGAACACCGAUUGCGAAGGCAGCUUACUGGGCCAUUACUGACGCUGAUGCACGAAAGCGUGGGGA